This 461-nucleotide ribosomal RNA is filed under the name uncultured bacterium. RNAcentral's name for it is "partial 16S ribosomal RNA". It matches the Rfam family "Bacterial small subunit ribosomal RNA", at positions 338 to 795 of the family's 1533-position model. The record is from RNAcentral.
CCUACGUGCGGCUGCAGUGAGGAAUAUUGGUCAAUGGGCGGGAGCCUGAACCAGCCAAGUCGCGUGAGGGAAGACGGUCCUACGGAUUGUAAACCUCUUUUGCCGGGGAGCAACGGGGUCCUUGCGAGGGCCCGAUGAGAGUACCCGGAGAAAAAGCAUCGGCUAACUCCGUGCCAGCAGCCGCGGUAAUACGGAGGAUGCGAGCGUUAUCCGGAUUUAUUGGGUUUAAAGGGAGCGUAGGUGGAUUGUUAAGUCAGUUGUGAAAGUUUGCGGCUCAACCGUAAAAUUGCAGUUGAAACUGGCAGUCUUGAGUACAGUAGAGGUGGGCGGAAUUCGUGGUGUAGCGGUGAAAUGCUUAGAUAUCACGAAGAACUCCGAUUGCGAAGGCAGCUCACUGGACUGCAACUGACACUGAUGCUCGAAAGUGUGGGUAUCAAACAGGAUUAGAUACCCCUGUAGUC